Octopus sinensis (East Asian common octopus) is the source of this 1387-nucleotide long non-coding RNA. RefSeq lists it as uncharacterized. The transcript is spliced from 3 exons. The record is from RefSeq and is a predicted model, not a curated record. Lineage: Eukaryota; Metazoa; Mollusca; Cephalopoda; Octopoda; Octopodidae.
CACAGUCAGUAGAGCCAUCUAGUGGAGAAUUAAAGAAGUACAACCUUAUGAAGACAAAUAACUUCUACACCGGUUCAACAAUUAAAUUCUUAAUUAAGGUGCUUAAUUACUGAUUCGCUGACUCGUUCCUUAUUUGUGAAUACGGAAAACCUACGAUCGACUUUUAUAUGUGAUAUAAAGGAAAUAAAUUGGUAAAAUGCGAGUAAAACUGCGUAAUUAAUAAAUAAAAUGCGAUGAAACCGAUUGAAGAAUACCACAGUCAUUAAUAUUGUCCUGUUUGUUUCUGAGGCCAGCUUAAACCAAUAUCCCACCUUGUUGGCAGAAAAGGAAGUUCUUACAUCCGAUGUGUUCUCGAUGUUGUUAUCAACAUUCAUUGACCAAAGGAAGACGAUAUAUUUAUAAGGAGCAUUUGUGAAUACGUCGACCUCUUUAUAUAUAUUUAAAAGAAAUAUUCAUGAAUCAAAAUCUAUGAUAUGAUGGAAAAAUAUUUCUUCUAGACCAGUGCUUUUCAAACUUGUUGCUGGAGCGGAACCCCAAGGAAACAUUCCACUGGCUCGAGGAACCCCUGCGCAAUAAUUUAAUAGUUUUAUGCACAAAUAUCUGCACAGGAGAAUUAAAAAUUACUGUCGAUUUUAGCAGUUUUGUAACUUCUUGCGGAAUCCCUGGACUGUACUGGCGGAACCCUGGUUGAAAACCACUGUUCUAGACAAUGGAAUUAAGAGCAGCAUUUUCUUGUCUUCGCUGUCUGGAAUGUGGAGAAGGUGAUUGCUUUACAAAAAGGAAAAAGAAAUUAUUCUUUUCAUAAUCAAAAUACAGGACCUGAAAAAAGGAAAAAAAAAUACAGGACCAGAUACUGCAACAGCUUGGGUUUCAGGGGACCACAGCUCUUCAAUAUCCUUCCUAAAUGCUUGAGACCUGCAUGGUGUGGAUGUGGGUUUCUUUAAAACUAAACUUGAUCUCUUCUUGUUAGGGGUUCCAGAUGAACCUACCUCUCAGCAGGAAACACACAUGCAGGUAGCAGUGCCGAACUCCCUUGUUGACCAAGUGCCACGUAUCAGAGGUGGUUUCACAUAUUAGUGUAGCUCAUUCAAUGGUGGUGCUGCAGCUUGCGGACUGAAACAUUUUUAAGGUUAAUUAAACUUGGAUUACUGCGAAGGAGUUGGCAGUUUACAUCUACUGUUUUAGAUAAGCAAAGUUACGGACUGAAGAAACAUAACAUUGAAUUAUUCCCUGAAAAUAGUGACUCGCCUGAAUACAAACAUCAUUGUGACAUGUAUGACGAAUUAUUCGGAUCUUUUCGGUCUCACCGGCAAUUUUUUUUAAUAAUUUCCACAUAACUAAACACUUUUCAACUUCGUAUACUGGUAGAAUGUGGUUAUAAAACAUC